RNAcentral lists this unclassified non-coding RNA (243 nucleotides) under fungal sp. RNAcentral describes it as "partial internal transcribed spacer region". The stretch from base 1 to 46 matches the Rfam family "Eukaryotic small subunit ribosomal RNA", at positions 1786 to 1831 of the family's 1831-position model. Lineage: Eukaryota; Fungi. The record is from RNAcentral.
AAGUCGUAACAAGGUAACCGUAGGUGAACCUGCGGUUGGAUCAUUAUUGAAUCAACGGUCUUGGAGUCCUCUUGAGUUGAACCAAGACCUUACCUACCCUUGUGCACUGUAAAUGUUUUUUGGGACUAGAUCGGCUGUAUUUCGGUACAGCAAGAGAGUCCCAGCAGUAUUAAACACUUUUUAAUUUGUCUGAAUUGAACCAAAGAAUCGUAACAACUUUUGACAACGGAUCUCUUGGCUCUC